GACCCAUCCCGAGCGGCUGAGAGAUCUGGAUCUGUGACGCCGCAGCAACCCUGGCCCGCCGUCAGCACGAAAUCGGCCCGCCAAAGGUGCUACUGCCAGAAGCGAUGGUGA
Molecule: non-coding RNA, 111 nt
Filed under: Sinomonas humi
Lineage: Bacteria; Bacillati; Actinomycetota; Actinomycetes; Micrococcales; Micrococcaceae
Also listed under: 1 other name
Description: SAM riboswitch aptamer (S box leader)
Rfam family: SAM riboswitch aptamer (S box leader)
About the family: The SAM riboswitch is found upstream of a number of genes which code for proteins involved in methionine or cysteine biosynthesis in Gram-positive bacteria. The SAM riboswitch acts at the level of transcription termination control.
Source: Rfam by way of RNAcentral